Molecule: long non-coding RNA, 262 nt
Filed under: Cucumis sativus (cucumber)
Lineage: Eukaryota; Viridiplantae; Streptophyta; Magnoliopsida; Cucurbitales; Cucurbitaceae
Description: long non-coding RNA (CSAT_LNC002952)
Source: RNAcentral
GAUCGGCGAAGACAGACUUGGGCGGACGGAGGUGGUGCUUCUUAUGGUAUGGGCGGUGUCGACAAAUGGUCACCGGAAGGUAACCCAAACUCCAAACCUAAUGGAGGGCUCUGAUACCAUGUAAUCUAGAAUUCAGAAACGUAUGUCUUAUUCUCAUUGAGUCAAAGCAAUGUUACAUAUUUAUAAAGAGAAUAAACUAAACCCUAGAGACUAUGUAAAAUUACAAUAAAGGACAUAUGUAUAUAUAUAUAUAUCAUAACAC